This is a long non-coding RNA of Pseudophryne corroboree (corroboree frog), 1103 nucleotides long. RefSeq lists it as uncharacterized. The transcript is spliced from 3 exons. The record is from RefSeq and is a predicted model, not a curated record. Lineage: Eukaryota; Metazoa; Chordata; Amphibia; Anura; Myobatrachidae.
GAAACUUCAAAGGACCUGGGAGCUUCACUGGAACCCAGACAUGGCGAUGCCCUUCCAGAAGUAGGCGAUGGUGGAACUAGUAAACCAAUUAAUGAAUAUCAACUCUUCUUCCAGAGGAAAAGAGGAUACACCAGGGGUGGCGGCGUCCUUCACCAUUUGGGUAAAAGGUCCUCACAGCCCCCUCUCAUCAUGUCUUCAAGAUGCACAGAGCCUGCUCCUCUUCAUGGCUCUUCUUCACUUCAGCAGCAGUGACAGCAUGACAUACAUUCUCUGUGCUGGAAAAGGAAGUCACUGGGACCUCAGAAGGGGAUGAAUGCUGCCCAACAGACACAGCAUGUUGUCUUCUUUGCUCCUCUAUUUAAAAGUCAUGUUUCUCAAUGAAAAUAGCUGAUUUUUGGGAAGCUGUUCAAAAUGCAAGACAUGUCAAUGAUAAUCAGUGGAUGAUAGCGGUCUGAUAAAUCCUACUGCAAAAGAAUGAGGGGGCAAUUACAUUUACCCUUUUGGAAUUAUUUACUGUAUGUCCUAUAAAAAUGUACACACACUCACAAACUGCGAAGUGCAGGGCUGUAGAGGGCAACAACUUAUUGGCUAUACGCCCUGCAGUGCCUUUGAAGCUUGUGCUGCUGGAAGACUGGCUAUAGCUAGCAAUUCCUGACAUCCUUUCAUCUUUGCCUCCUGUAGUAGUAGAAGUAUGAUCCCACAGUAACGGCUCUUGAAGCCAAUGUUAUGUUCUAGAUGUGAAAUAAAUCCUGACACACGUUACAAUAUUUGGUUUCCAAGGUGCCCCUCGGAACCUCUCCACAUUUACACCACAGAAAAAUGGUAUGUGAUAGAAGCUUAGACGUAACACUGGGAUAUGAAUUAUACAAUGGAAGAAUUUACAGAAAAAAAAGUGGUACAGUAACUAGGAAUACAUGGAAACAUCUUGUGCUAGGAAAGAAGCCGAUAUAACAAUGUGAAGUGGCUGAAUUAAACACAUGCAAUUGAAAUAGUCAUAAAGGGUGCUCAAUUUAUUUGGUCAAAAUAUGACCCAACCUUUCAUGCGAUGUUGAAUAAAUAAAAUGUAUGCAUACAAGUAAAUGACAUGUAGCAGGGAUACUAUU